UGCUCCGUCCACUCCACGCAUCGACCUGGU
RNAcentral lists this non-coding RNA (30 nucleotides) under Xenopus tropicalis (tropical clawed frog). The record is from RNAcentral. Lineage: Eukaryota; Metazoa; Chordata; Amphibia; Anura; Pipidae. RNAcentral also lists the same sequence under 1 other name.